UGUCCUUAAGUUUUAGAUAUUCCAAUAUAUUACAUCGUAAACGGCCUUAUGAGCACUACGAAUGGGGCCGAUACAUGGGUGUCAAAACCGCAUUUAGUUACACCGCUGCGCUCAGUCGUGUGACGAAUUGCGCAGUGAAAAGAUGUCACGCAGCAUAACACAAAAAUGCCUAAUUGCGUUGUAAAAGGUUGAAAAAACCAUUAUAAAAAGUGUGAGAAGAAAGAUGGGAUCUCAUAUCAUCGGUAAGUCAUUUCCAAUUACGUUUAUUUAUUGCUUGAAACAAAUUUUGAAGGAUAAUUUUAUUUCAUUCUCACGCGCAACCGAUGUUCGCUCGUACGUCAUGACGCUUAUGCAUUAACCUUGUAAGAACGUCAUUUCUUUCGUCGUAUUUGUGAGUUAUUAUGAAGUAGAAAUGCAUUGUGCGUUAUUUACAUUAUAUAUGGAUAAAUAUAUGUACUUAAUAUGAUUACCUACCGUAUAUAAUUACCGAAAUUAAAGUAUUACCUGUCUUAUAGAGUUAUUUCCCGUUUCUUUUACAUAAUGAUUAAAAACAUUCAAAAUAACAAGAACACGGGUUUGUUAUUGUUUUAUUCGUUGACUUGGGUAUAUAUUUAUUCUUAUCAUGUAUAAAACUUAGGUUAAAGUAUAAAACUCCAUAAAUCCAUAUUAUGCAUUUUAACCAGUGGUUCGUCACUAGCCACGGACACGGGCUCAUGCUGUUUCAUAUUUUUCUACAUUGUCACAUUAAUACUCGUACAUUUUAAUACAAGAAAUACAAUAUUACUGCUCCGUCUGUGACGCCCUUAAACGUAACCCGCGUUGCGUUAGCCUUGUAUGUACGCCCGUACAAAGUUAUCGCUUCGAGCGCUUGGUAGGCGGGAUAUGGGCGGUGCUCACGAGGUUCUACUUCAAGGCCGCAAUGGCAAUUCGUAUGCAAGGGCUUAUCUCUAGUUUAUAUCUAUGAUUCCUUACGUUUUUAGUCUGUUGAAACAUCAUACCUACCCUAAAGCUGACAUGAAUAAUAGGAACAACUGCGGGUAUUCCGAUAAACCUGCGUAGCUACAUGUUGAUAUAAUUGCUAGGCAAUCUCCCUGCGACCAAGAAACAUGAACGUAAUGUUAAGGUCAGAAAAGAAGAGCAAGUGCACGCAACUUACCCGGAAUUCACCGAGUUAUCUACUUCAGGCCACGAGAGCCGCCUCUUGCAGAAGGCCAUGGUGGGCUUCUCUGGUGGCGGCGGUUGGCGAGGCACGCGCAGCGACCCGCCUCGGCGGACCGGCGCCGCUGGGGCCAGGCAGUCCAGCGUGCGGCGCCGCGUGCUCAGAGCCGACGCGCCCUCCGUUGGCACCACUCGGGGAAAACCUACACAUCAAAAUAUUUUUCUCACAAAUGAUAGGCUAGGUUGAUCUGCUAAGUUAUCAGCCAAAAAUUAAAAAGUUAAAAACA
This is a long non-coding RNA of Cydia pomonella (codling moth), 1445 nucleotides long. RefSeq lists it as uncharacterized. NCBI's taxonomy places the organism in Eukaryota, Metazoa, Arthropoda, Insecta, Lepidoptera, Tortricidae. The record is from RefSeq and is a predicted model, not a curated record. The transcript is spliced from 2 exons.